CAUACGGGUUGAAGCAUGACCGUAAGGACAUGUGGACAGUAUGGGAGUGAGAAUGUUGGCAUGAGUAGCGAGAUGUGGGUGAGAAUCCCACAGGCCGUAAACCCAAGGUUUCCAGGGGAAGGUUCGUCCGCCCUGGGUUAGUCGGGACCUAAGCUGAGGCCGAAAGGCGUAGGUGAUGGACAACAGGUUGAUAUUCCUGUAC
Molecule: ribosomal RNA, 202 nt
Filed under: Clostridioides difficile
Lineage: Bacteria; Bacillati; Bacillota; Clostridia; Peptostreptococcales; Peptostreptococcaceae
Description: partial 23S ribosomal RNA
Rfam family: Bacterial large subunit ribosomal RNA
Source: RNAcentral